Molecule: long non-coding RNA, 4380 nt
Organism: Lutra lutra (Eurasian river otter)
Lineage: Eukaryota; Metazoa; Chordata; Mammalia; Carnivora; Mustelidae
Exons: 3
Source: RefSeq, a predicted model, not a curated record
ACUGGCAGGAGGGGAGGAGGCAGAGGAGGAGGGAGCAAGCUGGAGGGGGAGGAGGGCCGCGCGCGCGCGCCGGGUGGGGAGCCGGUUCGCCACUGUCUCCGCUCCCUCCCUCCGCAGCUUGACCCGGUAGUGAAGGCUGAGAGAGAGGCAGGCUGGGUCCGCCUGGCAGCCUACGAGAAGAGGCGGGAGCGGGAAAGGAGGGGAGCCGAGGCCCGGCGUGGGGAGGCCGGCAGGAAGAACUUCGAGCCCUGUGCGGACCUUUUUUCAGCCUCCGAGCGGCCGCGCGGCGCGCUAGCCUCCUGCGCUGUGAGGACGCCCGGACUUCCUCAGGACUAGGGCUCGGCGGGAGCAGAAAGAGCGAGAGCGGGACUUGGCGGCGCGCCCCCGUCUCGGGGGCUUCGGCGGGAGCGCUGCGAGUCCCCAGGCGCGGGACCCUGCCGCGGGAAAGCCGAGCUGGUGGGACCCCGUGGGGUCCUCCACUGCGGGGGAGGCCUGGGCGCGAGGCGCCGGGUGGAGGCGGAGUUGUUCUCUGUUGAGAGAGGUUUGUCGCCUCACCUUUUCAGUCAAACUCGUCGCAGAGUUCUUAGAAUUCCCCUCUCGGAGGAGCGGAAAGUUAGGGAAGUGCAGGCUGGUUACCCAGACAGCGAGGAGGCAGAGCAUCACUUUGCGGGGUGCGGGCCCAGCCCGCGCGUCGGGCGGGGAUGGGAACUUGGCGGCGGGGCGGAGUAGUCUGCUGAAAGGGGAUUCCAGGGACGCAGGGGAAGGGGCUUCACUUUUCCAGGUUAAGAGACGCGGAGCGGAAGGGGCCGUAGCGUGGGGCCUGCUGUGGGAAAUGGGCUGUUUUCCCCCAGCAACUGCGGCGGAGACGGCUGGGACACGUCCUCGCCCGGGAAAGCGUCAGACUCGGGCUUGUACCUUAGGAAGAAACCUUGACAUGCCCUGGUGUGACCACUUCGUGCUCCAGAGAAGGAAAAGAAGGCUCUCGGAGCGAGCUUGAACACAGCGGCAGAACCCGGGCUGGAACUCAGCUCGCAGGCCCAGCACCACCAGGCUCCUUUCCCUUCACCAAGUUUGCAGCCAGGAGUAGAGGGUUAAAAGUCCUAAUUUGAUGGGACUGUGAUGAGGAUGAAUCAGAUGUUCCAGGAGGAUUUUCUAUGUUUAUCUGCUGGUUUCUGCUGACUCCAUGGGUAUCUAAGCUUAAGUACAGUGACUGGAUAUACAAGCCCAAGUCCUGGGGAGAGAAUUUGGGCUACAAAGUUGGAUGUGGGGACACUCUGAAACCUUGCCUCUUCAGCCUUACCCCUGCACUGUGCUAAAGGUGAGAAGAGAAAAACACUGAACUCCAUUUUACAAAAUCUGUUAGUAGGCAGAGAACAUAGGAAAGAUCAAUGAAAAAAAAAGACUGUAUUGCAAGGAGAGGAUUGAAUGUUGAGAAAUCAAGCUUCUUGGAGUUAGUGAGGGGUAAGUUUAGGGGCUGAGAUGGCUCCAUACACUUGCACAGAAUUGCAUAUUUCAUUUGGUAUCUUAUCAAAUCACAUUAUAGUGCUAAUUCUCUUUAACUCAAAUAUUUUGAUGACUAUAACUUUUAGAUUUAUAUUAAUUGAAUUUACAUGGGAGGGCCAGAACUGUUUCAUUUUAGUCUAAAGUUAAUGUUCAUGAUUAUGCUUCUGCAUUUGGUAGAACCAUCUUAUUAUGUUUUAGUAUUGGUUAUAAUAUUGGGAUGGAAUAUAUGGUCCAAAGUCUCCACAACUUGAACUUCCUCUUAAAUGGCACUGUCAAUCAGUCACUCAGCCCUGCGUAAAAGAUCUGGGGACAGGCAAAAUGUGACUAGUUAAGUCUACAAGGGUAUUAGAUCAUUUUAGUCAGCAGAAAGUUCUGAAUGAUGUGCCUUUGGUCCUUUCGCACCUUUUUGUGUGAAUUUCCUGGACCAUACAGGAUACACCAAGGCAGGAAAGAGAACUGCAAAAAUAUUUAAAUAACUUCUUCACUUUAACUACAGUGUUCACAAUGUGUGGAGCAAUUUGACCAGCUCAAUAAAAGAAAGCAUGAAAAUAUUUUUUGUUGUUGUCCUGUGACUUUAAAGUCAUUGCAAUAUUUUUUGUAAAGGAUAAUGUCUACAUUAGUAAGAACUCUUCAUACUUUUUCUACCUAUUCAACCUAUGCACAGAACACAAUAGGCUAAUACUGUAUUUGAAUCUGGAAUGUAUACUUUUUAUGCAGUGCUAUGCAGGUAUACUUAAAUUCAUCAAUAUCUGAAUUUAUCUUUAGUUUUUACUAUUUUGCUUCUUACUUACUCUGUACGUGUCAGUCUUUUAUCAUCAGCUCACAUUCUACUAAACUCAAAAAGUUAUUUUCAUACCUAUUAUACUUUUAGGCCCUUCAUACCAGAUUUUUUUAAACACCUCAGAAAUUCAGGUACUUCAGUUUCAUGCCAUCAAGUAGCAAUGUGUGCCCCCCCUUUUUCUUAUUUGAGUGAGUAGUUCAAUUGCUGUCACUCUCUACUUUGUGAUUCUAAAUCUUUUAAAACCAUCUUGCCAUUUUUUUCACGCAUUCAUCCUUAUAGAAAACUCUAUAAAACACUCUUAUUUUUCUAAGUGCUUUUUUUCCAUAUUAUUAUUCCUGCUCUUUACGAAAUGGACAUCUCAAUUUAUUCUUUUUUUUCUCUAUAGGUCUCUGUAGAUAUGUCUUCAGUUUCCCAUCAAUUCCCAUCAUAAAUUUUUUAAAAUAAACUUAAAAUAUCCUACAUGCAUUUUUAAUAUGACGUCUACUGUCCAAGUUCUAAUCUUUCCUAUUUUUUAUCAUUUUUGCUGUUAAUUUAAAAUAAUAACAGUUUCCAUUGCAAAGAAUAAGCACAAAGGCAUAUUAUUAUUAUGAACUCAGUUUUGUCAGUAGUGAACAAUCUCUAGGUCUAAAGAAAAUGAUGGAAAUAAAGUCAACAUAUUGUAUUUUGAAAUAGUUAGGAAUAAUCAGAUGUGUUUUCUAGUCUUUGGAAAAACAUAUUUCAGAAAAUUCAAAGAAAACUUAAUGUUUCCUCAGCCAGACUGCUGAGAAGAAAAAAUGCUGAUGAACAAUUGGAGGCAAUGAGAAUGUAAUUCUAAUCAUGCUAAUUCUAACAAUUUUGAAGCCUCUCCAAACACUGCUCUGUGUGGCAUAGUUUGCAUUUAACCAUUUUGAAUGUCAUGUAUGUUUUUCAGAAUAUGAUGAAUACUAGUGAUCUUAUCCCGUCCUUUUGCCCUACCACAGGUGCUUAUAUACAUAUAUCUUCCAAAUAUUAUAUAUCAUUUCAUGUAACUUAUAGAUUCACUGAAGCCCAAUCUUUUGCUUGGAUAUGGAAUUCUUUGAAAGUGCAGCCUAAAUAAAUCUCUUCUGUAGUUUUUUAUUUAUAUUUAAUCAGCUGAAAGUAAUCUUAUCUACUGAAUUCCUAUGAAAUGCAACCUGAUCCUUUUCAUGACAUUUCUUUCUGCCUUCUAUUAUAACAUUAGAUUUAUCUCAGCUUCACUUCUAAGCCAUAACUUCUUUGAGAGCAUAGCUUAUGUUUGUAUCCCUGACAGAGGUUCAGUGAAUAAAGGAGAAUACAGUACUAGGAGAAAAAAAAAAAAAAAACCACAUCACUACAAUGAAUAUAUACUACUUACUAUGAAAAUAUAUCUAUUAAACAAAGAAUCAACUGAUGCUAGUAAAGUAAACCCAAAAUUUAAGUGUAUUUCAAAAGAUCAAGGACAGCAAGAAGUUUAGGAAGCUGUUAUUGUUUUGAGAUAGUUGUCUCCCAUUUUGGCUAUUGAGAAUAUUUUUAAAAGUAAAAGAGGGAAUUUAAAUUUCUUUAAGGGAAAAUUGUAGUUUAAGGUGGGUCAUAGAAUAAUUGGAAAUCAUUUAAUUCUCUUAGACCGUCUUAAUCUUCCAAUUUACCUCAAUGAAAUUGUAGGGCAAUAAAAGAGUUUGGAGGUUUGGCAAGCCAUUUUCUGUAAUCUCGGAAAAAAACGGACAGUAGGGGAGUCAGUAGAAGAUGGUUAAAAAGCAAAGCUAUCCUGUGCUUUGCAAGAAAAGGAUGUACUCCACAAACAAUGGACCACAAAAAUUAGGACAUCAAGAGAAAGAAGUGAUAACAUGAAGCUAGCAUAGCUUCGUAAAGAAGGCAAAUGCACAUUUUUGUUUAUAAAGCAUGAGUUAUUUGUUGUGGAUCCAUGUUAGCUAAAUCAUUAAGCAUUAAUGCCAUCACCUCUUUUCUAAUAUCAGCAAUGAAUACUCAAAGCCCUCGUCUCCAUCAUCAGUGUAAUAUCUACAAGUGAUUUCAGUUUGCAAAUGCUCUACAUUCUCCACAUCUAACUUUACCAGAACUGCACAAAACUGGCCUGUUACUUACCUCUCAUAAAUGCUCUCAAU